Non-coding RNA from Danio rerio (zebrafish), 116 nucleotides. NCBI's taxonomy places the organism in Eukaryota, Metazoa, Chordata, Actinopteri, Cypriniformes, Danionidae. The record is from Rfam.
UGGCCAGCAGCUAUCUCUCUGCAACUCUCACAUGGUCGCCCACUGAAGCUAAGCAGGGCUGUGCCAGGUCAGUACCUGGAUGGGAGACCACAUGGGAAAGCUAGGUUGCUGACGGA